Molecule: ribosomal RNA, 582 nt
Filed under: uncultured bacterium
Lineage: Bacteria
Description: partial 16S ribosomal RNA
Rfam family: Bacterial small subunit ribosomal RNA
Source: RNAcentral
UGGGGAAUUUUGGACAAUGGGCGAAAGCCUGAUCCAGCAAUGCCGCGUGUGUGAAGAAGGCCUUCGGGUUGUAAAGCACUUUUGUCCGGGAAGAAAUCCUUGGCUCUAAUACAGUCGGGGGAUGACGGUACCGGAAGAAUAAGCACCGGCUAACUACGUGCCAGCAGCCGCGGUAAUACGUAGGGUGCAAGCGUUAAUCGGAAUUACUGGGCGUAAAGCGUGCGCAGGCGGUUUGCUAAGACCGAUGUGAAAUCCCCGGGCUCAACCUGGGAACUGCAUUGGUGACUGGCAGGCUAGAGUAUGGCAGAGGGGGGUAGAAUUCCACGUGUAGCAGCGAAAUGCGUAGAGAUGUGGAGGAAUACCGAUGGCGAAGGCAGCCCCCUGGGCCAAUACUGACGCUCAUGCACGAAAGCGUGGGGAGCAAACAGGAUUAGAUACCCUGGUAGUCCACGCCCUAAACGAUGUCAACUAGUUGUUGGGGAUUCAUUUCCUUAGUAACGUAGCUAACGCGUGAAGUUGACCGCCUGGGGAGUACGGUCGCAAGAUUAAAACUCAAAUGAAUUGACGGGGUCAUAGCUGUUU